CUUAUCUAGUCCAGGCGACCACAUCUGGGCGAAGAGACGAAGCUCGAGGGAGGACGGAGAAGGGGGGCGGAGCGGAGAUGAUCAUCACGGCGGCCCUGGAGGAGUGGAUAGGGCACAUGGCGGCGGGGGAUGCGGCGAAGAUGGCCCGCUUCAGAGAGAUCUGCGGGUGGUUCCCCGACAUGGACACGCUCCACGACGCGGCGAUUGGGAUCACGGUCUUGGCGACGGAGGCGGAGCGGGCGAGGAUGCUUGGAGAUGGGGCUCCUCCUAUCAAGAUCCUCCAUUGGGCUAUGAUGGAGGCGGAGUCGCCGGAUCCGCGGCAGAGGAGGAGAUGGGCUGCAUAUAGAUCUCGUGUGUCGUCUCCCCCAAAUCCAGCGGAGUUUGUGGUGGGGGCGGUCAUGGUGAUCCUUGUACCGGGGCUGGUGGAGCAGCGGAUGCCGGGGAUGGGAGGAAUCGCCGUGCCUGCACCAAGGAGGGGGAGAGGUGUGCGCCCGAUUCAGAUGUCGCGCCGCUCGCCUCGCUUCCCUCGGCGCUCGGCGAGGAUUCGUGCACUUGCUCGCGGGUCUGGCGGGCAGUAGGAGUCACUCCGGACGGUACCCACUUAUGGGUGCUAGCCGGAGUAGAUUCCGAUGAGGAAUCUUCUGCAGUGUGCGAUAAACAGGGAAAAUCAAAGGGAGUUGAAGUGGGGAGUAAGGCUUCUAGAGCGAGUAUCAAGUGAAAAUUAUAGCACUUCAAGAAGAUGGAACCCGAGAGUGAUGAGACUUACUGGUGCACAUCUUGCUCUUGAAGAUGGUGUCAUUUCUACUAUUGUCUUGCUCUAUCUUUAAUCCUGCUUUUACUUUGUUUAUGUUUCUACAUGCACUUUUCUUCUCUUUUGGGAGCAAGACGGUGUUGGUUGUUGCCUGUAAUAGACUCUCUAUGAUGUUUAACAAUGUCUCUUUCUUUUG
Triticum dicoccoides is the source of this 947-nucleotide long non-coding RNA. RefSeq lists it as uncharacterized. The transcript is spliced from 2 exons. Lineage: Eukaryota; Viridiplantae; Streptophyta; Magnoliopsida; Poales; Poaceae. The record is from RefSeq and is a predicted model, not a curated record.